RNAcentral lists this non-coding RNA (45 nucleotides) under Schistosoma haematobium. The record is from RNAcentral. Lineage: Eukaryota; Metazoa; Platyhelminthes; Trematoda; Strigeidida; Schistosomatidae.
AUCCACCUGACGAAUCCCAAACAAGACGAAAUGCGCAUCCUAGAU